Long non-coding RNA from Hippocampus comes (tiger tail seahorse), 1897 nucleotides. RefSeq lists it as uncharacterized. The transcript has 2 exons. Lineage: Eukaryota; Metazoa; Chordata; Actinopteri; Syngnathiformes; Syngnathidae. The record is from RefSeq and is a predicted model, not a curated record.
GUCAAUUGUCAUUUUUUUGUACAUUUUGUGGCCUACUGAAAAAUGGACAGUGGCCUGCAAAUGGUGCCUGGGCCAUAGUUUGGAAACACCUGGCUUAGGCAGUACCCGUUUGCUUUUAACAGAUGCUGCACAUGUUCUUCUAUGGACUACCGCUGCUGGCAGCGUUUGUUUACGGUCUCUUUAAGCCAGGCUGCACGUGGAUGCCUGACUGGAGUGUUUUCUUUUCGGGAGCAAUGAUCCAGUGUCAGUGGGCUCACAUUGGGGGCUCCCUCCAUCCUCACACAAAAACCCCAUUUCGCAUUCAGAGCGAUGUAUUCUGGCCUGUGCUGGCGGCCAAUUUGCUCUAUGCCGUCACUCCUCUUCUGGUAGUUUUGCGUGUGCGCAGUAACCCCUAUUUUUUCCUGAAGGUCGCCCCCUUCCCUGGGCAAACCGGCCUGCCAAACAGCGAGGAGAAAGACACCAAGUACAAAAACAAAUAGUUCAAAUGUGGUAUGAUUUGACUUGAAUGCCAAAAUAAAUGAUUUACCGACAUCCGGAAUGUCUUGGUUUUAAUGAAUACUUCAUUUUAUAUUCGUGUCAACAAUCAUACAAUGUCUAGCAUCUAGCGAGUUAGCUAGCUAGCUCCCAAACAACAAAUUCACUACCUAGCUAGCUAAAUAAAUAUAAAUAGCUAGAUAGAUUGCUAAUUAGAUAGCUUGGUCGGUAAAUGGGCUACUUUUGCAUCUUUAAAUACAGCGUUUGAAAGGCAGAUACAAUAGAAAACAUAGCUUUUAUGCGGUUAAUGACUUACUCAAAACUAUCAGCAAGAAAUAUGUUUAUCUUCCACCACCACUUCCAAUUCCAUCACUUCAAACUUCAUUUUCCGCUAGGGGGACGCUCCAAAUAUUCACAAAAAUCCCAAUUUUAAUAGCCUAAAUCACAUGCAACACGCCGACAGAUUGUGCAUGUUAUCUGUGAGUGUGAACACAUAUUUAGCACCCACUCUUUGGGAUAUUAGUAAAUCAGGCACAUACAUUUCAGCUAAAGGAUGGAUCAUAAAACUUGGACUUUAAACAUCUCUUGUUGCCUGACAAAUCCUUUUAGGCAUACAGUAACAACUUUGCUAGAUAUAUAGAUAGAAGAAAUCAUUCUUAUUUUGUAGCUUGCUAGCUAAGCGCAGACAGUAAUUCAUAGAGGCUUUACAUUUGCAUCUAUUUAGCUAUCUAGUGUUGCGCGCUAAUUCACUAUCUGGCAAACCUGGUAGGCAGGUGAGUAAGUAGCAGCUUGGCGGCCACACAAAUCUCUUUUUUCUCUGUCCCCCAAAAAACAAAAUUGUCCAUGUUUUAUAUUUAGAUUUUUUUUAAGACAGGAAGUUCAUUCAACUCCUCGCUAUCUGGCUGGCUAAAACACCACUUCGAGCGUGCUAAACCAAGUACAGAUAGAUUUGUUGUUGUCCAAUAAAAAAAAACAUUUAUCUCCAAACGCUUUCUUUAAUCUUGAUGCAAAACAAUUUUUAAAAUUAAAUAAAUACACUCAUAAAAUGUGGAGGGGUUUUUUUGUUGUUGUUGGACGGGGUUGACUUGCAAAAACCUCAUCACAUAUUACAAUACGAGCCAAUGUCUGGGCACAAAACUGGCCACUUUCCCCCUACUGUGCUUUUUGUCUCAUCCAGUGCAUAUUGCACAUUUCAUCCUCUGCUCUACAUUUCCUCUUUUCUCCGCACUCCAUGUGGGCGGCUUGCUUAAUGAUUUCAUCAUCGCCUUUUGAAAAAUGCAUCAAACGAGCGACAGUGGAUCUCUGGAUGCCUUUGUGUGUGCAAACAAACACGCUCAAUUGACCAGCAAGCGGGGAGGAAAACGUUGCCUUUGUGCGUUUGAGUGUUUCACACUGUGAGCACGACUGAUUGUUGUUAUGAAAG